CGGCAACAGCUCAAAUUUGAAAUCUGGUCACCUUACGGAGGCCCGAGUUGUAAUUUGAAGAGGAUGCUUUUGGCGAGGUGCCUUCCGAGUGCCCUGGAACGGGACGCCACAGAGGGUGAGAGCCCCGUAUGGUUGGACACCGAGCCUAUGUAAAGCUCCUUCGACGAGUCGAGUAGUUUGGGAAUGCUGCUCAAAAUGGGAGGUAAACCCCUUCUAAAGCUAAAUAUUGGCCAGAGACCGAUAGCGCACAAGUAGAGUGAUCGAAAGAUGAAAAGCACUUUGAAAAGAGAGUUAAACAGCACGUGAAAUUGUUGAAAGGGAAGCGCUUGCGACCAGACUUGCGCCCGUCGGAUCAACCGUCGCUUGUCGGCGGCGCACUCCGGCGGGCUCAGGCCAGCAUCAGUUUUCCCGGGGGGAGAAAGGCGGUGGGAAUGUAGCUCCUAGGAGUGUUAUAGCCCGCCGCGUAAUACCCUCGGGGGGACUGAGGACCGCGCAUC
Molecule: ribosomal RNA, 497 nt
Filed under: Doratomyces sp. SSR-2012a
Lineage: Eukaryota; Fungi; Ascomycota; Sordariomycetes; Microascales; Microascaceae
Description: eukaryotic LSU rRNA
Rfam family: Eukaryotic large subunit ribosomal RNA
Source: RNAcentral